Molecule: long non-coding RNA, 219 nt
Filed under: Elaeis guineensis (African oil palm)
Lineage: Eukaryota; Viridiplantae; Streptophyta; Magnoliopsida; Arecales; Arecaceae
Description: long non-coding RNA (EGUI_LNC028438)
Source: RNAcentral
AGUGCGGGUAGAUAAACACCGUAACUGAGACUCAUGGAUCAGAAGCUCUGCUAGUCACUUGCAACCACACAAGGUGUCCAGCCUCUACGAAUUGUCCACACAAAAUCUUCGGACCGAUCAACCUUCCUCGGGACUGCUAGCUCAUGUAGACGGCUUCUGAUGGCAGAUCUGAUUUGAUUCUCUUCUUCGAUUGGCUCAGACCCUUCCGAUAUCGAAGAU